ACUUAAGUAGUUUAAAAUUAAAAUAAUGAUUUGUGGUAUCAUAGAUAUAAAUGUUAUCUUAGGUU
RNAcentral lists this transfer RNA (65 nucleotides) under Stagmatoptera biocellata. RNAcentral describes it as "tRNA-His". Lineage: Eukaryota; Metazoa; Arthropoda; Insecta; Mantodea; Mantidae. The record is from RNAcentral.